Molecule: ribosomal RNA, 467 nt
Filed under: uncultured bacterium
Lineage: Bacteria
Description: partial 16S ribosomal RNA
Rfam family: Bacterial small subunit ribosomal RNA
Source: RNAcentral
GACGAACGCUGGCGGCGUGCUUAACACAUGCAAGUCGAACGGAAAGGCCUCUUUCGGGGGGUACUCGAGUGGCGAACGGGUGAGUAACACGUGAGUAACCUGCCCUUGACUUUGGGAUAACUUCAGGAAACUGGGGCUAAUACCGGAUAGGAGCUCCUGCUGCAUGGUGGGGGUUGGAAAGUUUCGGCGGUUGGGGAUGGACUCGCGGCUUAUCAGCUUGUUGGUGGGGUAGUGGCUUACCAAGGCUUUGACGGGUAGCCGGCCUGAGAGGGUGACCGGCCACAUUGGGACUGAGAUACGGCCCAGACUCCUACGGGAGGCGGCAGUGGGGAAUAUUGCACAAUGGGUGGAAGCCUGAUGCAGCAACGCCGUGUGCGGGAUGACGGCCUUCGGGUUGGAAACCGCUUUCGCUCAUGACGAAGCUUUGUGUGACGGUAGUGGGUAAAGAAGCACCGGCUAACUACGUG